Long non-coding RNA from Alligator mississippiensis (American alligator), 1426 nucleotides. RefSeq lists it as uncharacterized. Lineage: Eukaryota; Metazoa; Chordata; Crocodylia; Alligatoridae. The transcript has 3 exons. The record is from RefSeq and is a predicted model, not a curated record.
GUGGGGGGGCGGGGCGCGCGCGACCCCUGACCCCGCGCGUCGCCCGCGCCGAGAGUCAUAGAGUGCCUGGAGGGGCGGGCUAGAGCGCCGCCCUGGUGCGGUGGGUGCGCUGCCAUCUUGUGGGAGGGGCCCCUCCCCGAGGGAGGAGAAAGUACUCCCCUCGCCCCCCGAGACUGCGGCUGGUGCCCUGGCCCCUGUCGCUGGUCGUUUGGCGCGGCGGGGGCCGCGAUCGGAGCGGCGGGACAGCUGAAGCGCUGCGCUCGCGGCUCGAGUGUCGGUGCCAACACACGUGUGAAGCGGUGUCACGUGCCGGCGCAGCCCCAACGCGGAGCUGGGCUUGGGGGAAAUUCUUUUCCGGCCACCGCAAGCGUCCGCCCGCGCCUGGGGCUGGGCCGAGCGGUGCCCCCGAAUGUUGUAGAUGUUCGAUUUUUAGAAUAUAGUUUGGUAUUUUUCUGGUUUUGAGAUAGCAAAACCCCUUGCUGAAAGGAGUAUUUCCAGUGGCAAGGGGUGGGACUUCUGGUGGCAAAAUUUGGGGGUUAGGGGGUGGGACUUCCAGUCCCAAGAUGGUGACCAGGAGACGGGGAACCUGUCAAGGGGCGGUGCUACCCAUGCAGCCCUCAACAGUUUGCCAAAACGAGGUACAAAGGAGUUGGGGUAACGUAUACUACUGGCAACUAUAUUGUAUGUUUCCACAAACUGGGGGAGCCAGAGAGCCGGUGUUACCUUGAUGGAACGUUAGAAUCCAAAAAGAUAUGAAGAGGAUUGUCCUGAUCUCUUCUCCAUCCAGUUAUUGCAACACAGUUAAUAAGGGGAAAACACAUCUACAACUGCUAUGAAUAAAUCUAGCCCUCUUUGUGUGCCUGGAUUCCUUUUCCAUUCUGUUCAAUGGUACUGCACAUCUUCAUUUUUUUUUUGUCAGCAAGCUUUCAAUCCCAGGCUAUCUUUAAGCAUUGGUAGAAAACAGCGCUAUGUUCAUGUUAGACCAGCUAUCAGAUUCUACCACCUCUAGGGCCUUACAGAUAACCAUAUUCCAAACCCCUCUACCUUGGGUAUUCUUUCUGGAGAAAGAGCAUUGAAACCCUCCAUGUUGUUGUCAGGCAAGGUGGCAUAUUCUCUUUUCAUUUGUGGCCUUUUGUGAGCUGAUGCAACCCUCCCAUUAAGUGCAGAGCAUACUCAUCUCUUGCCAAUGUCUACAAUGAUUAUAUAUUUAUAUGACAGUAAUGCCCAGGGGUUCCAGCUUUGAUCAAGCUGUUUAAACCCAUUUAUUUGACUUCUAAUAAAAUAACCCCACAAAAAUUGGGUGAGUGUAAUACAUAAAGCGAAAAUGGAAGAGGGCAAAGGGACUAGCUAUUUCCAUAGCUAUAUUGUUUUGUGUCAGUUCCUUUUUUUUCCACCAAUUAUGUAAAUAAACAAGUAAACAAAAUGA